Molecule: ribosomal RNA, 240 nt
Filed under: uncultured bacterium
Lineage: Bacteria
Description: partial 16S ribosomal RNA
Rfam family: Bacterial small subunit ribosomal RNA
Source: RNAcentral
UACGUAGGGUGCAAGCGUUAAUCGGAAUUACUGGGCGUAAAGCGUGCGCAGGCGGUUUUGUAAGUCUGACGUGAAAUCCCCGGGCUUAACCUGGGAAUUGCGUUGGAGACUGCAAGGCUGGAGUCUGGCAGAGGGGGGUAGAAUUCCACGUGUAGCAGUGAAAUGCGUAGAGAUGUGGAGCAACACCGAUGGCGAAGGCAGACCCCUGGGUCAAGACUGACGCUCAUGUACGAAAGCGUG